Molecule: ribosomal RNA, 474 nt
Filed under: Diplorchis ranae
Lineage: Eukaryota; Metazoa; Platyhelminthes; Monogenea; Polystomatidea; Polystomatidae
Description: partial 12S ribosomal RNA
Source: RNAcentral
UUUUAUUAUGAGUUAUAUAUAGUUUGGAGUAUUUUAUUGUUGGUUACUGGGUUUUAUUAUUAUGAUUAUAUAUAAACUAAAAUACUUUGUGGAAUAAGCUGAUUUUUUUAGACAAGAAUUAGAUACUCUUUUAUAUAUAAGUUUAUUUGAGGUUUCUCAGUUAUAACUGAAAGAAAUUGGCAGCUGACUAUGUCCUUCUAGGGGAGUGUGUUUUUUAAUAGAUGUUCCACUUAUUAUUUUACUAUAAUUUUUAUGUUAGUGUAUAUCCGGUUUUAUUAUAUAAAAUGAAUGUUUUGUGUAUAAAUUAUUUUUUUUAAUCCAGGUCAAUAUGCUGCUUAUAUUUUAGUUAAAAUUCGCUACAUUAUAAAGUUAUUUAAUGAAUAUUUUAUAAUUUUGGGACUUAGUAGUAUUAUAAAAUUUUAAUUGGUUUGUGAGAAUUAGGUUUAGUUGGGGUACACAUCGCCCGUCAUCUUC